This 105-nucleotide small nuclear RNA is filed under the name Mandrillus leucophaeus (drill). The record is from RNAcentral. Lineage: Eukaryota; Metazoa; Chordata; Mammalia; Primates; Cercopithecidae.
GUGCUCACCUCUGGCACGUAUACUAAAAUUAGAACCAUACAGAGAAGACUAGCAUGGCCCCUGUGUAAGCAUGACAGGCAAGUUCGUGAAGCAUUUCAUAUUUUU